This 227-nucleotide long non-coding RNA is filed under the name Capsicum annuum. RNAcentral's name for it is "long non-coding RNA (CANN_LNC015718)". The record is from RNAcentral. Lineage: Eukaryota; Viridiplantae; Streptophyta; Magnoliopsida; Solanales; Solanaceae.
CCAGGUUAAGUAAAUAGUAUAUAUCACGAGAGAAGAGUUUUAACAUACUAGUGACGACAUCAAAAGAUGCAUCAGACUCUUGAAGGAUAGUAAGAGCGUACAAGAAAUUCUCUCCAAUGCCGGUAGUAGAAGUGGCUCCCUAUAGUAUAGGAGCUGAUGAUAUGGAAACUAGAACCUUAUUAUCCCCUGUAGUCCAUGGGGAAUCCUUCAACACAUGUCCCAUCUGG